GUGAACGCUGGCGGUAGGCCUAACACAUGCAAGUCGAACGGCAGCACAGUAAGAGCUUGCUCUUACGGGUGGCGAGUGGCGGACGGGUGAGGAAUACAUCGGAAUCUACUUUUUCGUGGGGGAUAACGUAGGGAAACUUACGCUAAUACCGCAUACGACCUGCGGGUGAAAGCAGGGGAUCUUCGGACCUUGCGCGAUUGAAUGAGCCGAUGUCGGAUUAGCUAGUUGGCGGGGUAAAGGCCCACCAAGGCGACGAUCCGUAGCUGGUCUGAGAGGAUGAUCAGCCACACUGGAACUGAGACACGGUCCAGACUCCUACGGGAGGCAGCAGUGGGGAAUAUUGGACAAUGGGCGCAAGCCUGAUCCAGCCAUACCGCGUGGGUGAAGAAGGCCUUCGGGUUGUAAAGCCCUUUUGUUGGGAAAGAAAAGCAGCAGGUUAAUACCCCGCUGUUCUGACGGUACCCAAAGAAUAAGCACCGGCUAACUUCGUG
This 491-nucleotide ribosomal RNA is filed under the name uncultured bacterium. Its description in RNAcentral is "partial 16S ribosomal RNA". It matches the Rfam family "Bacterial small subunit ribosomal RNA", at positions 29 to 507 of the family's 1533-position model. The record is from RNAcentral.